GAUGAAGAACGUAUCAAAAUGCGAUAAGUAAUGUGAAUUGCAGAAUUCAGUGAAUCAUCGAAUCUUUGAACGCACAUUGCGCCCGCCAGUAUUCUGGCGGGCAUGCCUGUUCGAGCGUCAUUUCAACCCUCAAGCCCUCGGGUUUGGUGUUGGGGAUCGGCGAGCCUUUCUGGCAAGCCGGCCCCGAAAUCUAGUGGCGGUCUCGCUGCAGCCUCCAUUGCGUAGUAGUAAAACCCUCGCAACUGGAACGCGGCGCGGCCAAGCCGUUAAACCCCCAACUUCUGAAUGUUGACCUCGGAUCAGGUAGGAAUACCCGCUGAACUUAAGCAUAUCAAUAAGCGGAGGA
Molecule: unclassified non-coding RNA, 346 nt
Filed under: soil metagenome
Description: partial contains 5.8S ribosomal RNA, internal transcribed spacer 2, and large subunit ribosomal RNA
Rfam family: 5.8S ribosomal RNA (bases 1-120)
Source: RNAcentral